Molecule: ribosomal RNA, 253 nt
Filed under: uncultured bacterium
Lineage: Bacteria
Description: partial 16S ribosomal RNA
Rfam family: Bacterial small subunit ribosomal RNA
Source: RNAcentral
UACGGGGGGGGCAAGCGUUGUUCGGAAUUACUGGGCGUAAAGGGCUUGUAGGCGGCCAACUAAGUCCGACGUGAAAUCCCCAGGCUUAACCUGGGAACUGCGUCGGAUACUGGAUGGCUUGAAUUCGGGAGAGGGAUGCAGAAUUCCAGGUGUAGCGGUGAAAUGCGUAGAUAUCGUAAGGAAGACCAGUGGCGAAGGCGGGUCUCUGGACAGUUCCUGACGCUGAGGCACGAAGGCCAGGGGAGCAAACGGG